UGGGGAAUCUUGCACAAUGGGGGAAACCCUGAUGCAGCGACGCCGCGUGAGCGAUGAAGCCCUUCGGGGUGUAAAGCUCUUUCGGCAGGGAAGAUAGUGACGGUACCUGCAGAAGCAGCUGCGGCUAACUACGUGCCAGCAGCCGCGGUAAUACGUAGGCAGCGAGCGUUGUUCGGAGUUACUGGGCGUAAAGGGUGUGUAGGCGGUUGUUUAAGUUUGGUGUGAAAUCUCCCGGCUCAACUGGGAGGGUGCGCCGAAUACUGAGCGACUAGAGUGCGGGAGAGGAAAGUGGAAUUCCUGGUGUAGCGGUGAAAUGCGUAGAUAUCAGGAGGAACACCGGUGGUGUAGACGGCUUUCUGGACCGUAACUGACGCUGAGAUACGAAAGCGUUGGUAGCAAACAGGAUUAGAUACCCUGGUAGUCCACGCCCUAAACGAUGCAUAUUUGGUGUGGGCAGUUCAUUCUGUCUGUGCCGGAGCUAACGCGUUAAAUAUGCCGCCUGGGGAGUACAGUCGCAAGGCUG
This 523-nucleotide ribosomal RNA is filed under the name uncultured bacterium. RNAcentral describes it as "bacterial SSU rRNA". It matches the Rfam family "Bacterial small subunit ribosomal RNA", at positions 355 to 896 of the family's 1533-position model. The record is from RNAcentral.